CAGUGGGAUGAGAAGAACCUCGCGGGAUGGGAAGCCGCGGAGGGAAGGGCCGUCUUUGGUUACCUGGAGAGCGGGAGCAGCUGCGGAUCCCUUAUGAAGUGCCCGGAUGAAGCUCCAGCGCUCACGCGCUUUCCGCAUUGAGUGCAGCGCCAUCUUGAGAAGGGCGGAGCCGUCUUGUUUGGAAUGACGUCUGUUCAGAGAGCCAAUCCCAGUCUCGCGACUCCUGCUUGCUGGGCGCGGCUUGGGCCUCCAGGCUGCGCAGCGCAGCCGCUAUCGGGCGGACUGCAGUUCUUGCCGAGCAGGUAGAACUGAGCAUGAUCUUGGAGAAAAUCUGCAUACAUUACUGAUCUCUGAACCAUUUACCCUUCACGUGCCUCUU
Molecule: long non-coding RNA, 379 nt
Filed under: Homo sapiens (human)
Lineage: Eukaryota; Metazoa; Chordata; Mammalia; Primates; Hominidae
Description: HSALNT0013536
Source: RNAcentral